This 72-nucleotide transfer RNA is filed under the name Nippostrongylus brasiliensis. It matches the Rfam family "tRNA". Rfam says of the family: Transfer RNA (tRNA) molecules are approximately 80 nucleotides in length. Their secondary structure includes four short double-helical elements and three loops (D, anti-codon, and T loops). Lineage: Eukaryota; Metazoa; Nematoda; Chromadorea; Rhabditida; Heligmosomidae. The record is from Rfam by way of RNAcentral.
ACAUCGGUAGCACGGUGGCUAAUGCAGUCUGCCGGAAACAGAAAGCCGCGGGUUCAAUUCCCGUCCUAUGUC